GCCCGCGUAGCUCAGGGGACAGAGCACCAGCUUCCGGAGUUGGGUGUCGGGGGUUCGAUUCCCUCCGCGGGUG
Molecule: transfer RNA, 73 nt
Organism: Micromonospora lupini str. Lupac 08
Lineage: Bacteria; Bacillati; Actinomycetota; Actinomycetes; Micromonosporales; Micromonosporaceae
Rfam family: tRNA
About the family: Transfer RNA (tRNA) molecules are approximately 80 nucleotides in length. Their secondary structure includes four short double-helical elements and three loops (D, anti-codon, and T loops).
Source: Rfam